AUGAACGCUGGCGGCGUGGAUAAGGCAUGCAAGUCAAGGGGGCCCGCAAGGGCAACCGGCAAACGGGGUAGUAACAGGUGGGAACGUACCUAGAAGUCAGGAAUAACCUGUCGAAAGACAGGCUAAUACCCGAUAGUCUCCAAGGAGUAAAGCUCCGGCGCUUCUAGAACGGCCCGCCCGCUAUCAGCUAGUUGGUAAGGUAAUGGCUUACCAAGGCGUAGACGGCUAGGGGAGGUGAGAGCCUGACCCCCACCACUGGGACUGCGACACUGCCCAGACACCUACGGGUGGCUGCAGUCGAGAAUCUUCCGCAAUGCACGAAAGUGUGACGGAGCGACGCCGCGUGAUUGAUGAAGCUCUUCGGAGUGUAAAGAUCUUUUAUGAGGGAAGAAGUUUAUUGACGGUACCUCAUGAAUAAGGGGCUGCUAACCUCGU
Molecule: ribosomal RNA, 435 nt
Filed under: uncultured bacterium
Lineage: Bacteria
Description: bacterial SSU rRNA
Rfam family: Bacterial small subunit ribosomal RNA
Source: RNAcentral